Molecule: non-coding RNA, 136 nt
Organism: Hordeum vulgare subsp. vulgare (domesticated barley)
Lineage: Eukaryota; Viridiplantae; Streptophyta; Magnoliopsida; Poales; Poaceae
Source: Rfam
CUACUACUCCCUCCGACCCAAAAUUCUUGUCUUUGAUUUAUCUAGAUAUGAAUGUAUCUAGUCAUGUGUUAGAAUUUAGAUACAUCCAUUUUUAGACAAACGUAAGACAAGAAUUUUGGGACGGAGGAAGGAGAAG